UGUCUUUCUCCUCUCCUCACAUGAUCUCUUCACGUUCCCUCUCCUCACACAAUAUCCUCUUCACGAUCUCCUCACACGAUCUUCUCCUCUCCUCGUAUGUUUUUGCCUUCCACCCCUCUCAACGAAACCCACUCCUCAAAACUCCUCACUCCAAAGUGAUAGUUGUUUCCCCAAACUUUGCAGCCGCCGCCGAAGCCAUUGUCGAUGGCUUGAGAAAUCCUCGAUGGAUUGCUCCACUGAUAAAGAUUAGGAUUCUGCAAGCACUUCUCGGGGCAUUUUAUUAGCGAGCAUCGUUGGAUUCGCCUGUGCCCUUACUUUCAAUUCAGCUGUGACGACCACAAUUUACCCUUGCGAAGAUGUGGACAGAUACUACACUGGCAUUGAUGGGCUUCAAGGCGCCGCCCUGAUGAAGAAGCUCAAUUCCAUUGUUUAUGUUUAUCAAUUGCUGCGUUACAAAGACGUACUUCUCUGUUUCUCUGCUUCAAGUAUAAUUAGCUGUUAAUUGUUUACCUGUUAGAUCUGCUACGCUCUCAAGAUUCUUGAUGCGGUAGAUAUCAAAAACCCAAAAGCCUCCUCAGCUGCAGUUUGUAAGCUUGGUGGUUGGUUCCAUGUUUUUUUAGCUUUCUAACAUAGAACUACUUGCCUAGGUCUUUAUGUACAGAGUUGAGAUCUAUUCUCUUAGAGCUGUUCCAAAAUCAUUGGCCGAAAACUCAGAAGGAUGAAACAGCCACCUUUGAUUGUCUCAUGAAGACCUAUGGAUUUGUCCCUUCGGAUGAGUCUAGUGGCUAACGUAUGAGGUGUUGUCAUCAUGAUGUCUGGGAUUCGAAUCUUGGCAAAGCCGAGAUAAAUGUCUUCCUUAUGUACUAGUCACUAUUCCAAAGGCUAGUGGCAGCCCGUGAGUUACCUCCUCCGUAUUGGCCCUGGACAGAUUGGCGGGGGCGUUGGGGGCGAAUGUAUUCGCCUUUUGCCAUCAUGAAGACCUAUGGAUUCUUGACACCCGACUUAUGGUUAGAAACCCGCUUCAGCAAAUCUCCCUUCCAAGAAUACACAGACUUGCUCGCAAAGCCUACCAAGGCAAUUCUCUUCGAAAAUUCAGAGAUGAUCAAAGCUUAGGACUCGUAGAACUCCAUCCGCUCUCCCAUCACCCGCCUCUCACAGUUGUGCCUAAAUGGGACCUGAGUUUAGCAUUUUUGAUUUUAUACCUAUUAUCUGUUGAAAUUUAUGUAUGGCAUGCAAUAAUUAUAUAAUUUGUGCAUAGUUGUCAUUGAA
Zingiber officinale is the source of this 1269-nucleotide long non-coding RNA. RefSeq lists it as uncharacterized. NCBI's taxonomy places the organism in Eukaryota, Viridiplantae, Streptophyta, Magnoliopsida, Zingiberales, Zingiberaceae. The transcript has 3 exons. The record is from RefSeq and is a predicted model, not a curated record.